UGGGGAAUAUUGCACAAUGGGCGCAAGCCUGAUGCAGCCAUGCCGCGUGUGUGAAGAAGGCCUUCGGGUUGUAAAGCACUUUCAGCGGGGAGGAAGGCGGUGAGGUUAAUAACCUCACCGAUUGACGUUACCCGCAGAAGAAGCACCGGCUAACUCCGUGCCAGCAGCCGCGGUAAUACGGAGGGUGCAAGCGUUAAUCGGAAUUACUGGGCGUAAAGCGCACGCAGGCGGUCUGUCAAGUCGGAUGUGAAAUCCCCGGGCUCAACCUGGGAACUGCAUUCGAAACUGGCAGGCUAGAGUCGUGUAGAGGGGGGUAGAAUUCCAGGUGUAGCGGUGAAAUGCGUAGAGAUCUGGAGGAAUACCGGUGGCGAAGGCGGCCCCCUGGACAAAGACUGACGCUAAGGUGCGAAAGCGUGGGGAGCAAACAGG
This 429-nucleotide ribosomal RNA is filed under the name Chloroflexota bacterium. RNAcentral describes it as "Chloroflexi bacterium partial 16S ribosomal RNA". It matches the Rfam family "Bacterial small subunit ribosomal RNA", at positions 355 to 776 of the family's 1533-position model. The record is from RNAcentral. Lineage: Bacteria; Bacillati; Chloroflexota.